RNAcentral lists this long non-coding RNA (339 nucleotides) under Androctonus crassicauda. The record is from RNAcentral. Lineage: Eukaryota; Metazoa; Arthropoda; Arachnida; Scorpiones; Buthidae.
AACGGCUACCGGGUUGAUUAUUUCCUCGAUAAAACUGUUUAUAAUAGAAGAAAAAAUGAUUUUUGUCGGCUUCUAUAAUUUGGCCACGGACCAUCUGGCAGAGCUUCAAAUACCCGUGUCAACGACACCGACCAAAUCUAUUCACGCACCCAAUUUUCAAAAUAUCCCUUCAAAAUUUGAAACCAUCGAUUUCUACCACACUAUAUUUGUGUUAUUAAUAUAUUUAUGUCUAUUUUAUAUAAUGCAAAUGAUUAUUAUAUUUUGUAGGUCACUUUUUGUAUUACCAAGUCAGCGAAUCGUACUAUCGAGGAGAAGUUAGAGCGACAAAUAUUUCCAGCC